Molecule: small nucleolar RNA, 105 nt
Organism: Cajanus cajan (pigeon pea)
Lineage: Eukaryota; Viridiplantae; Streptophyta; Magnoliopsida; Fabales; Fabaceae
Rfam family: Plant small nucleolar RNA R71
About the family: R71 is a member of the C/D box family of snoRNAs containing the C (UGAUGA) and D (CUGA) box motifs. Multiple nearly identical copies of this snoRNA have been identified in Arabidopsis, and it is thought to function as a 2'-O-ribose methylation guide for 18S ribosomal RNA.
Source: Rfam
AUUUGAUGAUGAGGACAAGUAGCACAAAACUUGUUGAAUCUCUCCUAGUAUUCAUAUAGUGUCUCUCCAUGUUGUUGCCUAAUGCCACAAAUCUCCUUCCAAAUU